AACGAACGCUGGCGGCAUGCCUAACACAUGCAAGUCGAACGAGAUCUUCGGGUCUAGUGGCGCACGGGUGCGUAACGCGUGGGAAUCUGCCCUUUGGUUCGGAAUAACAGUUGGAAACGACUGCUAAUACCGGAUGAUGACGAAAGUCCAAAGAUUUAUCGCCAGAGGAUGAGCCCGCGUAGGAUUAGCUAGUUGGUGUGGUAAAGGCGCACCAAGGCGACGAUCCUUAGCUGGUCUGAGAGGAUGAUUAGCCACACUGGGACUGAGACACGGCCCAGACUCCUACGGGAGGCAGCAGUGGGGAAUAUUGGACAAUGGGCGAAAGCCUGAUCCAGCAAUGCCGCGUGAGUGAUGAAGGCCUUAGGGUUGUAAAGCUCUUUUACCCGGGAUGAUAAUGACAGUACCGGGAGAAUAAGCUCCGGCUAACCCCGUGCCAGCAGCCGCCGUAA
This 449-nucleotide ribosomal RNA is filed under the name uncultured bacterium. Its description in RNAcentral is "partial 16S ribosomal RNA". It matches the Rfam family "Bacterial small subunit ribosomal RNA", at positions 29 to 523 of the family's 1533-position model. The record is from RNAcentral.